Molecule: transfer RNA, 52 nt
Filed under: Diversitermes sp. A TB-2017
Lineage: Eukaryota; Metazoa; Arthropoda; Insecta; Blattodea; Termitidae
Description: tRNA-Leu
Source: RNAcentral
GGCAGAUAAGUGCGGUGGAUUUAAGCUCCACAAAUAAAGUUUAAAACUUUCA